AUGAAGAUAAGCCUUAAAAAUGGUUUUUAUUGUGUGUAUGAAUUCGAGGCAUCACAUAACCACACUCUUGCUCAUGGAAUCAUGGCCCAAUACUUGAGAUCCCAGAGAAAAGUAACAGAAGCACAUAUAGCAAAUGUUGAGGUUGCAAAAUCAGUAGGCAUUUCAAAUAAAGCAACAUUCGAUUUGAUGGCCAAGGAAGCAUGUGGAAGUGAAAACCUUGGCUUUAUACGUGAAGAUUUGAGAAAUCGUUUGUACUCAAAGAGAACAAUAAAAGCAAAGAAUGGUGACACAGGGGGAGUAUUAGAGUACAUGGAGAAGAAGGUCUCAGAAGAUGUCAACUUCUUCUAUUCAAUUCAAGUUGAUGAAGAUGAGUUGAUAACUAAUAUUUUUUGGACUGACUCGAAAAUGGUAUCAGACUACGCAUUAUUCGGCGAUGUUAUAUGCUUUGACACCACAUACAGGAAACUAGAUGAUGGACGCCCAUUUGGUUUGAUUGUUGGGGUGAAUAAUCAUCAAAAAACGGUUGUCUUUGGCGCCGCACUUCUCUAUGAUGAAACUGCUGCAAGUUUUGCUUGGCUUUUUAGAACUUUCCUAAAAGUUAUGUCUGGGAAACAUCCACGUACAAUUCUCACCGAUGAAGAUGCAGCAAUGGCAAAGGCAAUACGUAAAGUGUUCCCUCAUUCUCACCAUAGACUUUGUGUGUGGCAUAUGAAUCAAAAUGCUUGCAAGCAUCUCGCUGGAGUUGUUGAUGAAUAUAAGAAAUUCAAUGUUGAUUUUCAACAUUGUAUAUAUGAUAUAGAAGAGGAAGAUGAAUUUGUAAGUGCAUGGAAUAAAAUGAUUGACAACACUACCCAACGAAGUGAAAGCAUGAACAAUGAACUAAAGAGGUACAUUAGUGUUAAAUAUGACAUGCUUACUUUCUUGGAGCAUUUUGAACGGCUAGUUUCAGAUAGAAGAUGUGAAGUAUGA
RNAcentral lists this ribosomal RNA (969 nucleotides) under Triticum aestivum (bread wheat). RNAcentral describes it as "partial small subunit ribosomal RNA". Lineage: Eukaryota; Viridiplantae; Streptophyta; Magnoliopsida; Poales; Poaceae. The record is from RNAcentral.